CCGUAAAUUAUGUAAUGAACUGCGAGAACCAGAUUUUAUACCUGAUGAAAGCCCAUGCGAAGGAUUCAGAAUUUUUACAGACAUUUCAGAUGUUGAUGGUAUAAACUUUAUUAACCGUCUCAAACGUGCCAAGACGGCUUCAUGGAUUUCGUGUUGUUCCUGGUUGUUUCUAUUUAUCAUCCAAGUAAUCAAGACAGUAAUAAAAUCACGAUCUGGAAACAGACCAACAAAUAGACAGCAACGUGUGCCAGAGGGGCAGAAGUUCGAAAUAAUUAGUUAAAAUUGAGGCGUACUGUACGUUAAAAAGCUAAUGCCACAUUUUUUUUGGUCAAAUAAUUUGAACAUUUAGGCAGUUGGAUAUGUAGCUUGUGGUAGAAAAGCCAAUUCGUUUGGAUUUAAUGAUGAUUAGUGAUGGCUAGUGGUGGCGCCAGUUGGGGACCCGUCAGACAGGACAGGCCCCCGUCAGACAGGACAGGCCCCUUUCGUCCGAAGCACAACUAGGUCGUCGAAUAAAAACCAAUAAUAAUAAUAAUAAUAAUAAUAAUAAUAAUAAUAAUAAUAAUAAUAAUAAUAAUAAUAAUAAUAAUAAUAAUAAUAAUAAUAAUAAUAAUAAUAAUAUUAUUAUUAUUAAAGGAUGAUGAUGAUGAUGAUAAUUUUCCUAUCAAAAUAACGUUUAUUUUGAUGCCAAUUCCUACUAAUGUAGUCUAAAAGCAUAUUUUGGACAAUACUAAGCCAUAAAAAACUCACCCCGUGAACCCACACGGGAGUUUUUAUUUCGGGCCGUCGACCGAGGCUUCGUUCUUCCCCUGCCUUGGACCCCUCCGUCUAACAUUUCGGACCCUUGUCGGCAGAAAUAUGGCGCCAUCGCUGGUGUGAGAUAAAGCUGUACAGUUUUGUUGAGUUUAAAUUGGUAAUAUCAAUUGCAACAAGGUUAUUGUGAAUUUUGUAGAACAUUGCAAAUCGCUGAUUUUAGUAUGAAAAUUAGGCCAAACUUAUAAGAUGUCACUGCAAGUGGGCUAGGGGUAGCAUAGCCAAUAAUUGAGGGGGGGGGGAGGUUUGUUGGAAAUUUUAAAAUACAGAUUGCAAACCGUUGAUGAUAAUUCGAAAACUAAUAAGGAAUACCUCUAUUUCGAUGUUCCUUCCAAUUAUGGUGAAUGCAAAUGCGAUGUAUCAAAGAUCGCUCUCUAAGCAAAUUGUGAUAGCCUGCCCACAAUGGUUACUUUUUUGUUAGUAUAGUACGGUACAGUAUCUCAUCUUACCUUUUUAGUUCCUAUGCAUGUAAUGCAAUAGGAACUAUUGUAAUCACUCUCACUGUUUUUCCUUUGUUUUUUAUUGUGUGUAGUAUGUGUGUGCGUAUGUGUGUAGACA
Anneissia japonica is the source of this 1368-nucleotide long non-coding RNA. RefSeq lists it as uncharacterized. The record is from RefSeq and is a predicted model, not a curated record. Lineage: Eukaryota; Metazoa; Echinodermata; Crinoidea; Comatulida; Comatulidae. The transcript has 3 exons.